Molecule: transfer RNA, 75 nt
Filed under: Bacillota bacterium
Lineage: Bacteria; Bacillati; Bacillota
Also listed under: 2 other names
Description: tRNA-Arg
Rfam family: tRNA
About the family: Transfer RNA (tRNA) molecules are approximately 80 nucleotides in length. Their secondary structure includes four short double-helical elements and three loops (D, anti-codon, and T loops).
Source: RNAcentral
GCCUCCAUAGUUAAAUGGAUAUAACCGUCCCCUCCUAAGGGACAAUUACAGGUUCGAUUCCUGUUGGGGGUACCA